UACGGAGGGGGGCUAGCGUUGUUCGGAAUUACUGGGCGUAAAGCGCACGUAGGCGGCUUUGUAAGUUAGAGGUGAAAGCCCAGGGCUCAACCCUGGAAUUGCCUUUAAGACUGCAUCGCUUGAACAUCGGAGAGGUAAGUGGAAUUCCGAGUGUAGAGGUGAAAUUCGUAGAUAUUCGGAAGAACACCAGUGGCGAAGGCGACUUACUGGACGAUUGUUGACGCUGAGGUGCGAAAGCGUGGGGAGCAAACAGG
RNAcentral lists this ribosomal RNA (254 nucleotides) under uncultured bacterium. RNAcentral describes it as "partial 16S ribosomal RNA". It matches the Rfam family "Bacterial small subunit ribosomal RNA", at positions 524 to 776 of the family's 1533-position model. The record is from RNAcentral.